AUGGAAGAGCUUGGUCUUUGGGAAGAGGACCUGGAUGAUGUUGUUUUCGAUGAGAAGGAGGCCCCGCCGGAGGCAGCUCGCUGGAUAGCGCUCGCAAGGGUUCACUCGGCCAAGACCUAUAGCCAGUUUUGGUUCUUCAGAAAUAUGCGAGCUGCAUGGGAUCUAGCCCAGGAGGUUCAGUUCAAGCCGCUGGAGGAAAAUUUGUAUACAGUCCAAUUCUCCUGCUUGGGAGAUUGGGAA
This 240-nucleotide ribosomal RNA is filed under the name Triticum aestivum (bread wheat). RNAcentral describes it as "partial small subunit ribosomal RNA". The record is from RNAcentral. Lineage: Eukaryota; Viridiplantae; Streptophyta; Magnoliopsida; Poales; Poaceae.